Molecule: ribosomal RNA, 182 nt
Filed under: uncultured bacterium
Lineage: Bacteria
Description: partial 16S ribosomal RNA
Rfam family: Bacterial small subunit ribosomal RNA
Source: RNAcentral
GCAUGAAGUCGGAAUUGCUAGUAAUCGCGGAUCAGCAUGCCGCGGUGAAUACGUUCUCGGGCCUUGUACACACCGCCCGUCACACCAUGGGAGUCGGUAACACCCGAAGUCUGUAGCCUGACGCAAGAGGGCGCAGCCGAAGGUGGGAUUGAUGACUGGGGGUGAAGUCGUAACAAGGUAGC